This 254-nucleotide ribosomal RNA is filed under the name uncultured bacterium. RNAcentral's name for it is "partial 16S ribosomal RNA". It matches the Rfam family "Bacterial small subunit ribosomal RNA", at positions 524 to 776 of the family's 1533-position model. The record is from RNAcentral.
UACGAAGGGUGCAAGCGUUACUCGGAAUUACUGGGCGUAAAGCGUGCGUAGGUGGUUUGUUAAGUCUGUUGUGAAAGCCCCGGGCUCAACCUGGGAAAUGGCAAUGGAUACUGGCAGGCUAGAGUGCGGUAGAGGGUAGUGGAAUUCCCGGUGUAGCGGUGAAAUGCGUAGAGAUCGGGAGGAACACCAGUGGCGAAGGCGGCUACCUGGACCAGCACUGACACUGAGGCACGAAAGCGUGGGGAGCAAACAGG